AGAGUCUCACCACCCUCACUGCAAACAACCCUUUCCUACCAUCUACUUUGAAUCUCCCUUCUGCCAGUUUAAACCCAUUCCCCCUGGUGCUGUCAUUACAUUACAAACUAAUCAUUUAAUGGAAGAGUACUGCAUGGUACAUCCCUUUCAUGCUGCCCUAAGGCACAUCACACUUACCUGACUGUUCUUUUUUUCCUCUUCCCCUUAGUUUUUCUAUGCCAUUUCCAGUAGCAAAUCCUCCAACGUUAUUGUUCUGCUUUUAGCACAGAUAAUGGGUAUGUACUUCGUGUCGUCGGUGCUGCUGAUCCGCAUGAGUAUGCCUCCGGAGUACCGCAUUAUCAUUACUGAAGUGCUGGGAGAGCUCCAGUUCAACUUCUAUCAUCGCUGGUUUGAUGUGAUAUUCCUGGUCAGUGCACUCUCCAGUAUCCUCUUCCUCUAUUUAGCACACAAACAAGCCCCAGAAAAGCAUAUGGCCCUCUGAGUAAAGACUGCAGUCACACACUGCUCCCUGUCCUUUCAAAUGAUGAACUCCUGUGGACUGCAAAACUUGAAGAGUCAGGACUAUUCAGUGUGUUCCAGCAGGCUUUGAACUUCUGCAAGUGUCAUUGUCAAGCUCUGUGGCUCAUUUUGUUGCGGUUCAAGCCAUAGCUUGAAGGAAAAAGGGAUGCAUGCAUUGAUUGUGAGAUGAUGAUUGACAAGGCAUAAGAGCGCUGCUUGGUACACCCAUUCCUAGGGACAUUGGAACUUGCAUCGUAGGCUGUCUGAGGUAAGACCUCCUACUGUUAGAAGGACAUCUUCACACCAAGGAAAUGUGGUUUUUCUUUUGACAAUCAACUUGUGAUUGGAAUUCAGAGAAUGGCAAUUCUGGAGUUAAAUGUUUUGAGUCUGGAAUUAAAUAAGCUUUUGUAUUACCUCA
Molecule: long non-coding RNA, 916 nt
Organism: Pogoniulus pusillus (Red-fronted tinkerbird)
Lineage: Eukaryota; Metazoa; Chordata; Aves; Piciformes; Lybiidae
Exons: 2
Source: RefSeq, a predicted model, not a curated record